Equus caballus (horse) is the source of this 2106-nucleotide non-coding RNA. The record is from RefSeq and is a predicted model, not a curated record. Lineage: Eukaryota; Metazoa; Chordata; Mammalia; Perissodactyla; Equidae.
CCUGGCCUGUCCUGUUCUGUUAUUGCCAGCAUCCUGGUGGGACAAUUUCAUGGGUGGAAUCAGAGUGCGUUAGAGUAAGAAAUCUAAAGAGAUGCUGUUUUCUGCCUAAUCUGUUUUCUCCCCAUGGGUCAAUUUGGCUGCACUUUUAUUUUGAAAUCAAAGAACCUAGAAACAAAUGAGCAAACACCUUAUUAUUGAGAACCAUCUGCAGAAAAUCCCACGGAGCAGCUCCAAGGUCAAAGCUUAUCUGUUUUGCCUCAUGCACAAAACAGCCAGCACCAGGAGACCGGCAGGAUGGGAAAUCACAGAAUCAUAAGAAGUUUGGGUAAAAGGAAGCAUCUUCUUUCAGUUGAAUGUAAAGUGAGGACUCUAAGAGAGGCGAAACAAUUUGCUUAAGUCACACAGCUCUGAAGGAGCAGAGCCUAUCUCAACCUGGAUCUACACGAUUCUAGGAGCUGUGUUCUGAACCACUCUCUCUCAUCAAUUACAACAAAUCCUUGAAUGACAAUCCACGGGAGCACGAAUAUAAGUUCCUUGAAAGCAGAGAUUUUGUCUGACUUGAUGACUGCCAUCUCCCCAGGACCUAGAACAGGGACCAGGUCACACUCAGGAUUUGAGCUGUAUCGAAAUCCACGCUCUGCCACCCACCGGCUGUGACCGUGAACAAGUUAUUUAACUGCUCUGAGACUGGUUUCUUCAUCUAUAAAAUGGCAACGAUUUUUACUGUGCAAGUUUCUGAUGAGGAUUAAAAGAGAUGAUGCAUGUGCUACACGUGUUAUUAAACUAAAAAAUACCACUGACAGAUUUCCAGAGGAGCAAUUUUGACCAAAAUUUGCCGAUUUCCUUUCCUCUCUCUGAGGAUCUGUGUGGUAUAAAGAGGAAGGGCAAGAAGAAGGAAAAAUGGACUCAAAGAAGGAUCAAGAAGGACCAAGGUGGAAAGAAUUGCUGGAAGACAUGGUGAAAUAGCAUUAACUUCACUCAGCCUGUCUGCACUGGACUAAUCCCCUCGGAACCAACCAGGAAAUCUCCUGUGGCUCAGCAGACAGAGGCAGCUAAACCAGGGACCUGCUGACCCCAGAGCUGGAACGUCCCCCAUCCACCUGCCACGGAGUCAGAGGCAGGAAGGCCACUCAACGGGGAUGGUGGAGGGUCGGCCUUAGAGGAUCUCUGGAGUCCCUUGUCAGGAUGUUUUACAAACUACAAAACGCUGUGUCAUUUCACAUGCUUAUUUAAUCUGAUGUUUACAAUUAUCCUGAGAAAAAGGUGUAACUGAAGAAUCACUGAAAGUCAUCACCUAGAAAGGCCUGACUCAAGAUUCAAACCUAGUUCUUCCCACUAUCAUGGCUUCAUAAUAGAGCUGCUUCCAACUUGAUCGCAGACAGGCUGGUGCCCUGCCCCAUCUACCCCGAGCUCACUCGUUGGUGGUCAGCACGCUGACAACUCUGCGUCAGGCGGCUCUGUUUCUCUUUCCUCUGUCGGAAGGCUUUCUUGGGAUCAUGAGAGCUUAGCAAGGAAUGGAACCUGGAAAGGUGGGGAUGAGAAUUUAAUGCCUCUUGGGGCAACCUCAACCGAUGGGGUUGUACAGAAGUGGUUAGAUGCCAGCCUCCGGCAUGUUCCAUGGGUUUCCAGGGGUGCCCCCAGCUCCCAUGAGCCCCUGUUGCUCGCAGUGGUAGUAACCCACUCAUACCACAUGUCCUAUAUUGGCUCUGUCCACCUCCUGUCACUUUCCGCACUUCCUCAUGUGUGCUUUCUGGAAUCACUUCCUGUGUAAACAACCAGCACGAAAUCUUUAUCUCAAGGUCCACUUUUGGAGGAACUCAAACUGAGGCAAAUUCUAAAAUCAUGUGGCUGCUGCUACUGUUGUUAUUGUUUUUAAUUAUACCACGUUCCUGCCAAAAAAAGUAAUAAUGACCAUGCUGAUCAGUCAGAACCUGAUGAUGAUUCUUCUAAGACCUGAAAAAAGCUGAAGAUAACGUUCUGGACUAAGCACAAGUUAUUCCUCCUAUUUUGCUAAGGAGCCAUCUUUUUUUUUUUUAAAGAUCAGCACCUGAGCCAACAACUGUUGCCAAUCUUCUUUUUUUUUCUUUUUCUGCUUUUUCUCCCCAA